Long non-coding RNA from Rattus norvegicus (Norway rat), 1071 nucleotides. RefSeq lists it as uncharacterized. The record is from RefSeq and is a predicted model, not a curated record. Lineage: Eukaryota; Metazoa; Chordata; Mammalia; Rodentia; Muridae.
AGCCCAGUCCUUUUAUGGGGUCCUGGAAAAACGGUGGGUGACUGAGUUAAAAAGCACAGAACACCCGCUGUCAACACUCCGUGACCUUCCUUGGCUCAUCAGUUCUCCUAAGGACAAGAACUUUCCGGACUGUGUUUUCUGGUUCUCAUCCUGGCUAUCCGGGUGUUGUUGCCCGACACCUUUGGUAAAGGAAAGGCAAUGCCCAGGUCACCUUCGCUGGAAGCAGCCUCAGCACCCAGACGUUCUCUUCAAGGGGGUCUCUUAUUCCAAGGCCUUUGUGGAUCCAAAGAAACACCUUUUUUCCUCAGAGGCUAGACAUUUCCUUUUAUCCCUCGACUGAUUCUUCAUUUCAGCCAUGUUAGGAAGGCUUCCUUGUCUCAGUUGGAGACUAGGAGCCGCUUCAAAGACAAACAGCUAAAGAACAAAAGCAGGAGAUGGGCCAGCUGGGUGUGCGAGAGUCCACUCACAGGGGGGGGGGUUGUUAAUUUGAUGGGGGCAAUGUUAAUGCAUUGUUUGUUCUUAUUUGGGUUUCACUGCUGAAGGUUUGAAAGCCAGCCUCUUGAAUGCAUUUGCAUGUGGGAACAUCUCAGAGCAGACCUCUGGUUUCACCAACCUCCCAGAACUGUGUAUUUUGACUUGUGUGGCACUCCUUAAGAUACUCUGCACCCUUCUAGCUCAAAGGAAGCCUGCAUAACUGUUUCCCAAGUCCUGCUGGCUCAGCCUAGCUCCAAUCUUCUUGAAGCUCAGUGCUGUCUGGGGAAGGAGUUCUGGCUAAUGGAGGGUGUCUGGCCAAGAUGCAUCCCAUUGAUGACCUACUGAGCUUCCUGGACAAAUCUUCAAUGUCCCUGCUGGGUAUGAGCACCCGGGACAAUCUUAGAAGGCACAUACAGAAGAUGCUUCCGGAACCUCCAUCAGCCUGGAUCCCAAGGGAUGAAUAGAGCCCCUCCUUCAGUGCCAGGCCACAAACACAGCAGCAUUGACAAGACAACAGCGUUUGCUGCCAUGGUAAUGAAUACUUCUGACACAGGCCAGGGAUCUGAUUCUGAGCAGAAGCUCAACUACUUACAAAAA